RNAcentral lists this microRNA precursor (68 nucleotides) under Lytechinus variegatus (green sea urchin). RNAcentral's name for it is "mir-2002 microRNA precursor family". It matches the Rfam family "mir-2002 microRNA precursor family". Lineage: Eukaryota; Metazoa; Echinodermata; Echinoidea; Temnopleuroida; Toxopneustidae. The record is from Rfam by way of RNAcentral.
AUAAGACCAACAGGUGUUAUUCUCAUGUGUGAAUGUACAAGUCUGUGAAUACAUCUGCUGGUUUUUAU